UCCUACGGGGGGCAGCAGUGGGGGAUAUUGCACAAUGGGGGGAACCCUGAUGCAGCGACGCCGCGUGGGCGAUGGAGUACUUCGGUAUGUAAAGCCCUAUCAGCAGGGAAGAAAAUGACGGUACCUGACUAAGAAGCCCCGGCUAAAUACGUGCCAGCAGCCGCGGUAAUACGUAGGGGGCAAGCGUUAUCCGGAAUUACUGGGUGUAAAGGGAGCGUAGACGGCUGUGCAAGUCUGGAGUGAAAGGCGGGGGCCCAACCCCCGGACUGCUCUGGAAACUGUAUGGCUGGAGUGCAGGAGAGGUA
RNAcentral lists this ribosomal RNA (305 nucleotides) under uncultured bacterium. RNAcentral describes it as "partial 16S ribosomal RNA". It matches the Rfam family "Bacterial small subunit ribosomal RNA", at positions 337 to 659 of the family's 1533-position model. The record is from RNAcentral.